CCUGCAGUCAACGUCCCACGCCGCGUCGCGCCUCGGUACAGUGAGUACUGAGGAUCAAAGUAGAGCCAUUGUAUGCUAGGCAAGCCAUUUGCCACAAGUCACACUCCUGCCCUUCUCUGGGACAUUGGAAGUCACUAAAAUUGGUCCUAAAGACAAACAUUCAAAGAAUUCAUCCAAAAUUCUGGCUGAAGCCAAAUAGCAAGCAUAUACAUAGGAAUAUGGAAUAUAGAACAAUUCUGUGACCAGAAUUGGGGAAAGAAUUAAAUUCACACACCAAAGCACAGUGGAAAAUGUCU
Long non-coding RNA from Octodon degus (degu), 296 nucleotides. RefSeq lists it as uncharacterized. The transcript has 3 exons. NCBI's taxonomy places the organism in Eukaryota, Metazoa, Chordata, Mammalia, Rodentia, Octodontidae. The record is from RefSeq and is a predicted model, not a curated record.